GAGCGAACGCUGGCGGCGUGCUUAACACAUGCAAGUCGAACGUGAACGGGGGCAACCCCUAGUAAAGUGGCGUACGGGUGAGUAACACGUGGGUAAUCUACCUUAAAGUCUGGAAUAACCUGCCGAAAGGCGGGCUAAUACUGGAUAGAGCGACGGAAUCCGUAAUUGGGUUUUUCGGGAAAGGGAGCUUGAAAGAGCCCUCGCUUUAGGAUGAGCCUGCGUCCCAUUAGCUAGUUGGUAGGGUAACGGCCUACCAAGGCAAUGAUGGGUAGCUGGUCUGAGAGGAUGAUCAGCCACACUGGAACUGAAACACGGUCCAGACUCCUACGGGAGGCAGCAGUGGGGAAUCUUGCGCAAUGGACGAAAGUCUGACGCAGCCACGCCGCGUGAGUGAAGAAGGCCUUCGGGUUGUAAAGCUCUGUCACUCGGGACGAAAAACUAGUCGGUUAAUACCCGAUUGGACUGACGGUACCGAGGGAGGAAGCACCGGCUAACUCCGUGCCAGCAGCCGCGGUAAUACGGAGGGUGCAAGCGUUGCUCGGAAUUAUUGGGCGUAAAGGGUAGGUAGGUGGUCUCAUUUGUCUGGGGUGAAAGCCUUGGGCUUAACUCAAGAAGUGCCUCAGAAACGGUGAGACUAGAGUACUGGAGAGGGUCGUGGAAUUCCCGGUGUAGCGGUGAGAUGCGUAGAGAUCGGGAGGAACACCAGCGGCGAAGGCGGCGACCUGGACAGUCACUGACACUCAACUACGAAAGCGUGGGGAGCAAACAGGAUUAGAUACCCUGGUAGUCCACGCUGUAAACGAUGGGUACUAGGUUUGGUGGGUCUUGACCCCUGCCGAACCGGCGCUAACGCAAUAAGUACCCCGCCUGGGAAGUACGGUCGCAAGACUAAA
RNAcentral lists this ribosomal RNA (893 nucleotides) under uncultured bacterium. Its description in RNAcentral is "bacterial SSU rRNA". It matches the Rfam family "Bacterial small subunit ribosomal RNA", at positions 27 to 898 of the family's 1533-position model. The record is from RNAcentral.